This 161-nucleotide unclassified non-coding RNA is filed under the name uncultured Helotiales. RNAcentral's name for it is "sequence contains ITS1". The record is from RNAcentral. Lineage: Eukaryota; Fungi; Ascomycota; Leotiomycetes; Helotiales.
AAGAGAAUAUGCCCUUCGGGGUAGAUCUCCCACCCUUUGUUUAUAUUACCUUUGUUGCUUUGGCAGGCCCGUCUUCGGACCACCGGCUUCGGCUGGUCAGUGCUUGCCAGAGGACCCCAAACUCUUAUUAUUAAUGUCGUCUGAGUACUAUAUAAUAGUUA